This 492-nucleotide ribosomal RNA is filed under the name uncultured bacterium. RNAcentral's name for it is "partial 16S ribosomal RNA". It matches the Rfam family "Bacterial small subunit ribosomal RNA", at positions 29 to 507 of the family's 1533-position model. The record is from RNAcentral.
AGUGAACGCUGGCGGUAGGCCUAACACAUGCAAGUCGAACGGCAGCACAGUAAGAGCUUGCUCUUACGGGUGGCGAGUGGCGGACGGGUGAGGAAUACAUCGGAAUCUACUUUUUCGUGGGGGAUAACGUAGGGAAACUUACGCUAAUACCGCAUACGACCUACGGGUUAAAGCAGGGGAUCUUCGGACCUUGCGCGAUUGAAUGAGCCGAUAUCGGAUUAGCUAGUUGGCGGGGUAAAGGCCCACCAAGGCGACGAUCCGUAGCUGGUCUGAGAGGAUGAUCAGCCACACUGGAACUGAGACACGGUCCAGACUCCUACGGGAGGCAGCAGUGGGGAAUAUUGGACAAUGGGCGCAAGCCUGAUCCAGCCAUACCGCGUGGGUGAAGAAGGCCUUCGGGUUGUAAAGCCCUUUUGUUGGGAAAGAAAAGCAGCAGGUUAAUACCCCGCUGUUCUGACGGUACCCAAAGAAUAAGCACCGGCUAACUUCGUG